UGCGGGUGCUGGGAAGGGGGUGGGACCUUGCCUAUACUUCAAGACAACAGCUCAGACCUCACCCUGGGGAAGUGUUCCUGGGAGAAGGGGUGAAGCUUCCUGGCCAGGGAGGCUGGCAGGGGGCCAGGGUGGCAGCCAGGCCUGGAGAGUCACUUCUCUCUGGGCUGGGAAGGCCUCGAUGAGUCCACUGCCUGACCACCCAUGGACAUCCGCUCUCUGGCGUGCCUGACAGAUGAGAGAAGGGACCCACAGCCUGCGGGAAAGGAGCAUCUCAGCCUGAGAACCCACGGACCUGGGUCUAGGGUUUGUUCUGCCUGAAGGGGCAAUUUCCUUUCCUUCUCUGAGCCCUGAGUGCCCCAUCUGUAAAAUGGGGGCAGCCCCUCUCCUGCUGACCUCCAGGGUUGCUAGAGGAACAAAUAGGUCUAUUCUACAAAAAGGUGUUCUGAUAUGAAGCCAUAGCUAAUGUGAGCAUUGUUGUUCCGAUUUGUUGUGGCAUCAGGACUGGUCUAGCAUGCCUCCAGCCCUCCCUCCAGGGACCCAGGAAUUUCUUUUUUUCUUUCUUUUUUUUUUUUUUUUUGAGACAGGGUCUUGCUCUGUCACCCAGGCUGGAGUGCAGUGGCACAACCUCGGCUCACUGCCACCUCCGCCUCCCGGGUGCAAGUGAUUCUCCUGACUCAGCCUCCCAAGUAGCUGGGA
RNAcentral lists this long non-coding RNA (696 nucleotides) under Homo sapiens (human). Its description in RNAcentral is "HSALNT0242285". The record is from RNAcentral. Lineage: Eukaryota; Metazoa; Chordata; Mammalia; Primates; Hominidae.